UAGUAAUUUAACCAUUUAUAUUCUUGUCACAACAUGUGAAGCAUACACAUUAUAUAACUUGAGAUCACACAAAAGAAAGAAACACAAUUGACAUCACAGGUUAGGAUCAACGGCAGGGAGCAAAAUAACUAACUGGAAAGGUCCAAAUUGCAUUAUAUUUCAUCAAUUGCACAUAGCUUAUCAUCAAAAUUAUAAGCACAACAGAGGAAAUUAGAGGAAAUAGGCAAUCCAACUAAAGGAAAAUGCAAACUAAGAUAAGCUAAGACCGGGAAGGCUAUAGAGAGAAUCUCUUUGUAUUAAUCAAAUACGAAUAACAAGCAAUUUCUGACUAAAAUAGGAAAAAAGGAGGCACAGAUUCGAUCAAAACAAGGCAUGUCAGAUAAUGGGACAAUAUACCCCAAGCCACUGCGAAGAAAGGGGGAAAAAGGAGGGGCAGUCGAGACCAACUCGGAUAUAGACAAGAAAUCUUCAACUUUUAGCAUGAUUCAAGGCGAAACAUACAAGCAAAACUCUGUAAAAUUUAGAAAGCUAACAACUAAUAUAGAUUCCAACAUCUAACCUUAAGAACAGAGGGUGAGGCAGUAAAGCAUUCAACUCAUGCGAUUACCCUAUUUGAAGUAACAAGAGAAUGAAGACAACCUUCAUAUAUCGAAUAAAGCAAACGAAAUCACCUAUAGAAGGUGAUUCCAAACUACAUGACUGACUCAUAACUUCGUAGUCAACCAAACGAAACAACAGUGAAACAAGAAGAAAAGGAAGAAAACCAACUCAACGCCUUACGGAAAACAUUAAGACUUCGAGCAAAACAACCCAAAAAAAGAUACUUGAACCGACAAAAGAGCUUAUAUCAAUGCUUUGCAAUCAACAAUAAGUCGAAACAAAUUCAACAUUCUAACAUUUAGACGCCUCAUACAACAGAAUCAAACUGCCAGCACAUCAGGAAACCAAAGACACGAACAGAAACAAAUAUUACCUUUUGAAAUGCAGCGUACUGGGACAGCGACGAGCUGAGACGAGCGAUAUAACCACCACAAUGAGAGUUUCGAGAAAUUCGGCAAAUCCCCCGCAACCCACGAACAAGAAGGAGAAAAUAUAUCUAACUAAUAGGUAUUUCUUAUGUCUUUUAUAGCUUUGCAAUUCUUUUUCUCUGUAAAUUCUUACCCUCAAAAUCCAACUUAAAAAACAUGCCCCCAAAUCACUUGAGCAUAGAGAACUAUUUCUGGGGAAAAUUGGGGCGAUUUAGGGGGAUGGAAUUUUGAAUUCAUAUGCUCUUUUUCAAGGAAACAGUAAAAGGGAUGGGCAAUUUCUGAAAAGGGGGAUGGGGACGCGACUGCUGCAGAAAAGGAGGACGGCAGACACUGGUGGUGUUUGGUGCUGCUACUGAUGUUGACGUGAUCGUCUAGGCGUAUGGGUUCACUGUACUGGAAGGAGAAAGGAGACACUAUUUAUUUUCUGGUUUUCGUGAAGAAAUAUUUCACAUGCACUUGACUCAAUUAGGAAUUUUCAAAAUCACCACUUUUUUCAACGUACAUGCCCUCAAAUGAAAGAAGUGUCCCAAGACCAUACACACAAAUAAACAAGACAAGGGACAAAGAUGCAAGACUCACACUCACAAAGAAUCAUCUCAUGCACACAAAUGUCACACCAUAAGCUUGCCCAUAUUUUCAAUCAACAAUACUCAACACUCCAUUUGGUUAGAAAUCUCAAAGGACUUUGUUAAGCUUGUAAUAUAGGCUUAGGGAAGGUUAGGAUAUCAUUUAGGUAUAAGUGACUACACCCUCCUUGAACACUACACAACAACUCAUCAUUUCCAACUUUCUCUACUUUUCAAACCCAUGCACAUUCCACACUAUUUUUCAUUAUUCUUUUCUUAUUUCUACUCUAGUUGCCCCACAUACAACCAUUUUCAACUUUUGGAGGAUUCAAGUCUCAUUUAUUCAUUUUCUUUCUUUCUUUUUCAAAGCAUUUUCUUUCUUUAAGACUUCUCAUCCAACCCUCAAUUUCUCUCUACUUUUUUUUUCUAUCAAGCGGAUAUGGUAAGCAUUGAUCACUUCAAUGAAUUUCCCAUAACACCACCAACUUAGGCUUUUAGCCUCGACUUUCACAACCUCAAGUUCAAGGAGGGAAGGGUUCAAAAGAGGGUUACUUUUUUCAAAAAGGAUAAGGCUUGUAAUGUGGUUGCCAAUAAAAAGGAUUAGGCUCAAAGGGGACAACUAAGGAUAUAUUUAGUGCAAAGGUGGGAUUUUUAGACAAAGUGGACUUCAAGAACAUCAAAGAAAGCCUAAGAUCAUUUCUCCAACCAAACUCAAUCAAGACCAACAUUUCAAGACCAACCGGGCAAGUUCUAGGUGACAAUAGCGAACACAAGGCAUUAUUCAAUAACUCACCACACAUGGCCUGCAAAUCAAUCAAGAUGGUUCAAAAUCUUACUUCCUUUUCAAAAUACAAGUAGCACUGAACAUUUUAACCGCUAACGAAUCAAAAGUCACAAAAAGAGUUGUAAGAGUUGUCACAAAUCAUUCAUAACAUGCUCAACCUUAUAAAAACGGAGAGGUAUGCUCAUGAUUCACAUGCAUGACUAUGCUCUUAGUACCAACCAAGUCAAAACCUUCCCAAAAUGACGAUGAUUUUACCCUUAAAGUCAUCAACCAAUCCAUCAACAAGCAACCUCAUGCAUCUAUUCGGGAACGGCUACUCAAACUUCGCCACAAUCAACGCCAAUCAAACAUUCACAAGCAAUCGAUGAUUUAACCUUAAGAAGGACGUCACUCUCUAUCCAUCAUCGGGGAUCGUUAAUCCAAAUCUUAUUAUAAAAAAAAAACAAAGAAGCUACAAACUACAAAUCAAAAACUAAAAUAGACCAAUCCAACACAAUAUCAACAGAAACAUCCACAAUAUCAAAGCCCGACAAGGGCACACCAAUCCA
This is a long non-coding RNA of Solanum tuberosum (potato), 2926 nucleotides long. RefSeq lists it as uncharacterized. NCBI's taxonomy places the organism in Eukaryota, Viridiplantae, Streptophyta, Magnoliopsida, Solanales, Solanaceae. The transcript is spliced from 2 exons. The record is from RefSeq and is a predicted model, not a curated record.